GGGGAGGGGAGCGCAGCGAGGAAGGACAAGGCGCAGCGGCCGCCGCGGUCCCGUGGUGGCCGGGUGCGCGCGUGUGCGUGUCUGUGUGUGCGUUCCGAUGACAAAGCCCCGCCGCCGCCAGCAGGCUCCUGGCUGCCUGAGCACUGGUGGGGGAGGGGAGGGGAGGAGGGGAGCCAGCGCUCGCGAAGGUAGCAGAGAAUCGAAGCUUCCCGGGAGAAAAAGAGUUCAUUCAUAAGCCGGAGGAGGCCUCCUGACCGGGCCAGGUGGAGCCUCCCGAAGCCGACACCUGUGUAUUUUCCUCUUUGAAAAGGGGCGAGCACAUCGAUCAUUACCAUAUUUUAAUUGCCUUUCGCAAAGGUCAUCUCUAAUUACGGGUUGCGAGGAGGGUUGGCCAGGGGUCUGUAGCCCUGCAUUGUGUGCGUGUUGUGUGUGUCUCGCAGCUGAGACAAUGCGCCCAGCUCUUAUCAAAAUGCCAAUCUGAGGGUGUCCGUGCGCGCCUGCGAGGCGGUCACGACACGACGUGCUGGAUCCACGCAGACAGAGCAGGCUGCGUGCACAAUAAAAGCCGAGCAGGCGGCGAAGGGCCGCGCAGACCCACGGGUUUUCUUUUUAGAAACGCUGGUGCGAAGAGACUCGACAAUAAUAACACGCAGCAGGAUUAAAUCAGGGCGGGAAUAAGAAAAUGGAUUUUCGUUUCUCCAACCGCGUGCUGUGUUUAACCCAGCCCAUCCCCCAAGAGCUUUGGGUGCCCACGGUGAAAUCCCCCGCAGGGACAGGUGCAGGGCACAGAGUGGCUUGGGACUCCCUGGUGACAGCCCAGGACAGCCACCUUACUUUAAUACUGAUCUCUCCCUCUAAUUCAGCGGAGUUGUCAGUUACAGUGACGUGGACGCCUUAACGAUGUCUGCUUUAUAGGGAACGAUACCGGCUGGUCAAGAAGGAGAAAGAAAACAUGAAGGGUUUUUUAACUUUUAAAAGUCUGCAUUUCCUUAUUUUCAUCACUUGCGGAAACCCUCGAGGCAGACGCCUAUUUCAACUUUGCCUUAGGGAGAACAGGCAGGAAGGCUGUUGGAGGGUCAGGGGUUCUUAGGGGGAUAUUGGGGAGAUGAGGAGCUGGAAACCAGUGAAGAGCUGUUGUGGGCAGCAGUCACUCUAAACUUGACUUUCUCAAAGGAGCCUGACAUCUCUGAGCACCAUGCUGUUUCUGGGAGCCCCGCCUGGUAGAGCCAGGGGCUGGGGUCAGGAGCCUCGGAGAGUUGGAGGGUUUUGUACGGCUCUGCUUCCUGCCUGCCCCCCACACCUGGCCUCCUGGCCUCACCAGCAGUCUGCUCCGCCUGGAGGAAGGCAGAGCCAGAUGACUGGUCCAACCCCCGAGAGACCGCCUGGCUUUCUCCUCCCCUGUAAUCAAAACCAGAUGCACUUAAGCGCCUUUCAUCAGAGGAAGCCCGAAGCCCUUUAACAGGCUUCAAUAAAAGCCUUGCUAGGGCCUACCAGCCUGCUCAGUGUCCAGGCCCCUGUGCCCAUGUCCCAACUGAAGAAGCCUGGGGCUGCAGGGUCUAGCUUCUCCCAGAGGGGCCCCAGAGGCCAAGGACAUCUGCUGAACCAAGGCAGCCCUCUCCGGGCAAGUAGGAUGCCAGGAUCCCUGCCAUCCUGUUGAUAGGAGGUUGAUAGGAGAAAAGAAUCAGGCUUAGAAGGGAAGCCAGUGGCUAGUACCUAAGGAAGGAUAAGAGGAGUGACCUUGGAGUUCCCACCACGGUGCAGUGGGUUAAGAACCUGGCUGCUGGGAGUUCCCGUCGUGGUGCAGCGCAAAUGAAUCCAGCUAGUAUCGGUGAGGAUCCCAGUUUGAUCCCUGGCCUCGCUCAGUGGGUUAAGGAUCCGGCGUUGCCAUGAGCUGUGGUGUAGGUCGCAGACGAGGCUGGGAUCCUGUGUUGCUGUGGCUGUGGUGUAGGCCAGCAGCCAUAGCUCCUAUUGGACCCCUAGCCUGGGAACCUCCAUAUGCCACAAGUGCAGCCUUAAAAAGCAACAAAAAAAA
This 2032-nucleotide long non-coding RNA is filed under the name Sus scrofa (pig). Its description in RNAcentral is "lncRNA (ENSSSCG00015008323.1)". The record is from RNAcentral. Lineage: Eukaryota; Metazoa; Chordata; Mammalia; Artiodactyla; Suidae.